Molecule: long non-coding RNA, 226 nt
Filed under: Arachis ipaensis
Lineage: Eukaryota; Viridiplantae; Streptophyta; Magnoliopsida; Fabales; Fabaceae
Description: long non-coding RNA (AIPA_LNC001297)
Source: RNAcentral
UGGUGGCUCGAGCAGCAGGACGCGGUGGCGGCGCGCAGCUGCAGUGGCGGUCUCCCUUUCCUCCGGCGCCACUGUUCCUUCCUCUUCUCCCUUUCUCUUUCUCAAGCCCUCUCUUCCCUCUUCAGCUCUCUUUCUCUCAGAUCUCAUAAUAUAUAAUCAAAGGCAACUACUUAGCCCUUCCACAAUAAAAGUUUUCUUCGUCUUCAUCGCAAGCACCAACAGCAAC